Molecule: transfer RNA, 89 nt
Filed under: Staphylococcus aureus
Lineage: Bacteria; Bacillati; Bacillota; Bacilli; Caryophanales; Staphylococcaceae
Description: tRNA-Leu
Rfam family: tRNA
About the family: Transfer RNA (tRNA) molecules are approximately 80 nucleotides in length. Their secondary structure includes four short double-helical elements and three loops (D, anti-codon, and T loops).
Source: RNAcentral
GCCGGGGUGGCGGAACUGGCAGACGCACAGGACUUAAAAUCCUGCGGUGAGUGAACACCGUACCGGUUCGAUUCCGGUCCUCGGCACCA